Long non-coding RNA from Camelus dromedarius (Arabian camel), 1336 nucleotides. RefSeq lists it as uncharacterized. NCBI's taxonomy places the organism in Eukaryota, Metazoa, Chordata, Mammalia, Artiodactyla, Camelidae. The transcript has 2 exons. The record is from RefSeq and is a predicted model, not a curated record.
UUGCAGGCCUAAAAGGCAGGCGCAAAAGUGCGGUUGAGUUCACACAAAUAUCUGGAUCUGGGGAAAGCUUCUGCUGGGUGAUUGACGACCUGUAAGCCCUGGAAGCUGAGGGGAGGACGAGAGAGCCACCCAGGAAGCCUGACGUCAGGGGCUGCCUCCCGGCCGCCCUCCCGGCUGCGUUCCCGGCCGGAUGCAGAGUUGAGAGAAGACGCUGGCUCGUCAAGGUGAGUCAGAACAAAGGCGGAGAUGAGCUCGAUCGGACAAGCCUGAGAAGCAGGACCUUGUGUUUGCAUCCCCUGAACCUGGCUCUGCACGGUGUUCAGUUCCUCCAGGACGUUUUUAUUUCCUCCCACCUUGAUAAGACCCCUCCUCCCAGGGCGGCCCGGGCUCCUUCCCAAAAUGCACAUUGAGAGAAGCCCUCUGGCCUCUCAAGCAAUCCUCUUGGCAGCCUGGCCCUGACCUUCCGCCUGACCGUUCCUCCAUUCCUAAGGAAGGUUGCACCUCAGGGGAAAUCACAGCCCCCACCCCGCAUGCCCCGUGUCCCCUGGGGGCCCUCGCCUGCGCCACAUUUUCAUAAAGGAAAAAAAGAAAAGCCUUCAGGUAAUUUAUCCACUAUUUUUGCAUGAAUUGUUUGGCUGUCUAGAUCCUUCAUUUCCUGUUUCAGUCUUGAUCUUUAGUUGAAAGGGAAAAAAAAAAACCCACAUAUAUAUGCAGUUUUUUGAAAGAGAGAAAAUUGCUUGAGUGAAAAGUCUUUCGUCUUCAGGGAGAACCUCAUCUCUACCACUCAAGACAGGGAAGAUAAUCUACAAAACCCAGAAGUGCAGAUGCAGACAUGGCAUUUUUUCCUUUCCCCCAGACAACCUGCAAAGUUCAUUUCAGGAUCUCCCCCCACCAGAAGCCACAGAGGGGGACACUUGGUUUUCACCACAUUGCUCAGCGUCCUAAGGGUCAGAAAAGGCUGAGGUUCUGAUAACAGACACAGAUUUGACCGAGGUAACAAUUUAUCUACGCAUCUCUGCAAGUUCCACCAAGCUUGAAUUUCUUUAGCUGCAUGGAUCCAUUUUAAUAAGAGCUGACAGUUUAAUCAGAUGCCGUGACAACACCUGCUCUUAGACAUGAAGCCUGCUGAGCAUCCUGCCAGGGGUGACAUCGCGGCCUCUGGAACUGGACCCAGAGCCUAAGAAGGACAAGGCCUGGGAUCAGGGGCCCUGACAGCCCGAGAGUGGAGGAAUCACCAGAAACCCAGAAGAGGUGGCUCCUCAUGAAACAGAAUCACUAGAGGAAGCAAGGAAAAACUAAACAAAAUUCCUGCUACUAAUAAAGAAAAUCAAUUCUA